CACCAGACACUACCGACUGAACUUCCAGGUCUUCGCUCAAAGGAUGUAUACUUGAUACGGAUAUUCCUGCCUCAACAAGGCUACUAACGAUCGAGGUCGGGGCUCGGAAAUGAUGGACUCGGCAGAUUAAUUUACAAUCACUGCCACUAUUUAGAAUGUCCGUUGUGUUCUGCAGAAAACAUUGGGAAACAGGGCUAUUCCGCCUGGGUCGGCUCAUUUGAAGCUAAAAAAGUCAAUGGACAUCCUCCACAAGGGACCCAGUUGUUUCCUUUAGUUCCCAGUACCGACACCCAGUUGCUGCUUGGGUAGUCAACCUUACCACCUGCUCACCGGCACCCUGACCACAUAGCUGCCCAUGUCUGCCCUCCUCUGCUAGGCCAACCCAGCCCACACAGUCUUCAUGAGGAUCACGACCCUGCCAGACUACACCAGAUAGAGUUUCCCCAGAACGCCCGAGGGAGGAUGGACCGGCUGAUCUUCUCCCUGUUGGUGCUGGCCGUCUCCACCAGGGGGCAGUUGUGCCCCAAGCGCUGCAUGUGCCAGAACCUGUCCCCCUCGCUGGCCAUCCUCUGUGCCAAGACGGGCCUACUCUUCGUGCCCACCGUCAUCGACCGGCGCACCGUGGAGCUGCGUCUCACUGAGAACUUUAUCACAGCCAUAAGGAGGCGGGACUUUGCCAACAUGACUAGUUUGAUCCAUCUGACGUUGUCCCGCAACACCAUAAGCCAGAUCAUGCCUUACACCUUCGAGGACCUCAAGCGACUGCGAGCGCUGCACCUGGACAGCAACCGGCUGAGUGUGAUCAGGGAUGACCACUUUCGGGGGCUCACCAACCUUAGGCACCUGAUCUUGGCCAACAACCAGCUCCACGAUAUCUCUCCCCACGCCUUUGACGACUUCACAGGAACCCUGGAAGACCUGGACCUGUCCUACAACAACCUGGUGGACAUCCCCUGGGAGACGAUAGGUCGUCUAACCAACGUCAACACCCUUAACAUGGACCAUAACCUUAUAGAGCACGUGCCCCAAGGGAUCUUCACCAACCUGCACAAGCUGGCGCGUCUAGACAUGACUUCCAACAAGCUGAAGAAGAUCCCUCCGGAUCCACUUUUUCUGCGCAUCCCCGUCUACGCGAAAGCCAAAGGAUCCCCUCAGUCGUCAUUGGUGAUGAGUUUUGGUGGGAACCCGCUCCACUGUAACUGUGAGCUGCUGUGGCUGAGGAGGCUGACCAGGGAAGAUGACCUGGAGACUUGUGCCUCUCCUCCAGACCUCACAGCCAAGUACUUCUGGACCAUCCCAGAGGAGGAGUUCAUCUGUGACCCUCCGGUCAUGACCAGGAAGUCUGCCAAGACCUUCACCAUGGAGGGCCAGCCAACCAGUCUGAAGUGCAAGGCCAACGGAGACCCGGACCCAGAGAUUCACUGGAUUUCCCCCGAGGGCCGUCUGAUCUCCAACACAUCAAGGACUGUCACCUUCAGCAAUGGCAGCCUGGACAUCAACAUCACCUCCAUGAAGGACUCUGGAACUUUCACCUGCAUUGCCUCCAACGCGGCGGGGGAGUCCACGGGCCAGGUGGAACUGGUGGUCAACCUCCUCCCCCACCUGGCCAACAGCACCAACCGGCUACGGGAGCCCGACCCUGGCCCUUCAGACAUCCUCACUUCGGCCAAGUCCACCACGGCCACAGGCAACGACACACGGAGGAACCAGGAGGGAAGGGUGAUGAUGGCGGAGCUGACAGCUAGCUCAGUGCUGAUCAAAUGGCCAUAUCAGAACCACGUCCCUGGGAUUAAGAUGUACCAGGUCCAGUACAACAGUUCCCUGGAUGACACGCUCAUCUACAGAAUGAUCCCGUCCACCAGUCAGGACUUCCUGGUGCGUGACCUGGUGUCAGGGCGCGAGUACGACCUGUGUGUCCUGGCGGUGUACGACGACGGCAUCACCUCGUUGACGGCCACGCGGCAGGUGGGCUGCGUCCAGUUCAUCACGGAGACCGAGUACAGCCAGUGCCAGGCCCUCCACAGCCAGUUCCUGGGCGGCACCAUGAUCAUCAUUAUCGGUGGCAUCAUCGUGGCCUCCGUGCUCGUCUUCAUCAUCAUCCUCAUGAUCCGCUACAAGGUCUACAGCCACCAGGGCAUGGACACAGGCAAGGUGGGAACCCUGGCCAACAUCCGUGCCCAGACCAACGGAGGACAGGCUGGGGGACAGGUGUCCCACUCUGGGUCUAAAGUUACAGAGAGUCAGGAGGAGCAGCAGGAUCAUGCCUUUGCUGGGGUGGGAGUGGGACCAGGGACAGGGUUAGGGGGGUGUGUGAGUAGAGUGGCAUCGCCUAAUGCCACCCUAAAGAACUCUAACACCAUGGCGCUGGUGGUUGACUGUGAGAAAGCGGUGCAGAUCUCAGACAUGACUGCUGAGGACCUGCUGUCGCCAAGUAAGAGGCGUCACUCCAGGACUGCCUUUGAGAUGAAGAGGAGAGCCUCCCUCACACCCAGAGAGGCCACCAUCGUCGAUGUGGGGGGAAAAUAUUCCCAGGAUUCCAGGAAUCAAGGAGAUUGGAUUAUAAAUCAGGAACAUUUUUAGGACUCCUGCCAGACAUCUUCCUUGCGUCCUCCAUAGUUCACACUGUAUUUACAGACCCCCCAUGAAAACACCCCAAGAUGGAUUUAAUAAGGACUCAAUUCACCAUCAUAAUCUAAUGGAUUGGAGCUAGAAGAGCCAAUGGCCUCGCCAGUGGCUUUUGAAACAUAUUGCCUUGUAAUCCCUCUGUGGCUCAGACUGUGUGUGUCUGCUGUUCCUGGCACUGUACUUGGGACCAGGACUUGCCAAUACCUGGACCUGUUCCUGGACCUGCUCAUAAUGUACCUUACUUUACCUGACUGUCUUCAGACUCAGGAUGGAGACCCAGCCAAAGGUAUGUGCUGUGUUUCGUCCAUCCAGACUCCGAGGACCCAAGUACAUCUAGGAGGAAGAACUCCAACCAGAAGGGACUAAGCAAA
Molecule: RNA transcript, 2996 nt
Organism: Oncorhynchus masou masou (cherry salmon)
Lineage: Eukaryota; Metazoa; Chordata; Actinopteri; Salmoniformes; Salmonidae
Gene name: leucine-rich repeat and fibronectin type III domain-containing protein 1-like protein
Exons: 6
Source: RefSeq, a predicted model, not a curated record